UACAGGGGGGGCAAGCGUUGUUCGGAAUUAUUGGGCGUAAAGGGCUCGUAGGUGGCCAACUAAGUCAGACGUGAAAUCCCUCAGCUUAACUGGGGAACUGCGUCUGAUACUGGAUGGCUUGAGUUUGGGAGAGGGAUGCGGAAUUCCAGGUGUAGCGGUGAAAUGCGUAGAUAUCUGGAGGAAUACCGGUGGCGAAGGCGGCAUCCUGGACCGGCAUUGACGCUGAUGAGCGAAAGCUAGGGGAGCAAACGGG
This 253-nucleotide ribosomal RNA is filed under the name uncultured bacterium. RNAcentral describes it as "partial 16S ribosomal RNA". It matches the Rfam family "Bacterial small subunit ribosomal RNA", at positions 524 to 776 of the family's 1533-position model. The record is from RNAcentral.